AAUAGCUCAGUCGGUAGACCAUCAGACUUUUAAUCUGAGGGUUCCCAGGGUUCAAGCCCCUGUUCAGGCGGA
RNAcentral lists this transfer RNA (72 nucleotides) under Hime japonica. Its description in RNAcentral is "tRNA-Lys". It matches the Rfam family "tRNA". Rfam says of the family: Transfer RNA (tRNA) molecules are approximately 80 nucleotides in length. Their secondary structure includes four short double-helical elements and three loops (D, anti-codon, and T loops). Lineage: Eukaryota; Metazoa; Chordata; Actinopteri; Aulopiformes; Aulopidae. The record is from RNAcentral.